GUGGGGAAUAUUGCACAAUGGGGGAAACCCUGAUGCAGCCAUGCCGCGUGUGUGAAGAAGGCCUUCGGGUUGUAAAGCACUUUCAGCGAGGAGGAAAGGUUGGUAGCUAAUAACUGCCAGCUGUGACGUUACUCGCAGAAGAAGCACCGGCUAACUCCGUGCCAGCAGCCGCGGUAAUACGGAGGGUGCAAGCGUUAAUCGGAAUUACUGGGCGUAAAGCGCACGCAGGCGGUUGGAUAAGUUAGAUGUGAAAGCCCCGGGCUCAACCUGGGAAUUGCAUUUAAAACUGUCCGGCUAGAGUCUUGUAGAGGGGGGUAGAAUUCCAGGUGUAGCGGUGAAAUGCGUAGAGAUCUGGAGGAAUACCGGUGGCGAAGGCGGCCCCCUGGACAAAGACUGACGCUCAGGUGCGAAAGCGUGGGGAGCAAACAGGAUUAGAAACCCCGGUAGUCC
This 450-nucleotide ribosomal RNA is filed under the name uncultured bacterium. RNAcentral describes it as "partial 16S ribosomal RNA". It matches the Rfam family "Bacterial small subunit ribosomal RNA", at positions 354 to 796 of the family's 1533-position model. The record is from RNAcentral.